GUCGACUUGGAGGUUGUUUCCAAGAGAAGUGACUUCCGAAGCUAACGCAUUAAGUCGACCGCCUGGGGAGUACGGCCGCAAGGCUAAAACUCAAAUGAAUUGACGGGGGCCCGCACAAGCGGUGGAGCAUGUGGUUUAAUUCGAUGCAACGCGAAAAACCUUACCUGGUCUUGACAUCCAUAAAAUUUUUUAGAAAUAAAAAAGUGCCUUCGGGAAUUAUGAGACAGGUGCUGCAUGGCUGUCGUCAGCUCGUGUUGUGAAAUGUUGGGUUAAGUCCCGCAACGAGCGCAACCCUUAUCCCCUGUUGCCAGCGGUUCGGCCGGGAACUCAGAGGAGACUGCCGGUUAUAAACCGGAGGAAGGUGGGGACGACGUCAAGUCAUCAUGGCCCUUACGACCAGGGCUACACACGUGCUACAAUGGUUUAUACAAAGAGAAGCAAAUCUGUAAAGACAAGCAAACCUCAUAAAGUAAAUCGUAGUCCGGACUGGAGUCUGCAACUCGACUCCACGAAGUCGGAAUCGCUAGUAAUCGUGGAUCAGAAUGCCACGGUGAAUACGUUCCCGGGCCUUGUACACACCGCCCGUCACACCAUGGGAGUGGGUUGCAAAAGAAGCAGGUAUCCUAACCCUUAAAAGGAAGGCGCCUACCACUUUGUGAUUCAUGACUGGGGUGAAGUCGUAACAAGGUAACCGUAGGGGAACCUGC
Molecule: ribosomal RNA, 707 nt
Filed under: uncultured bacterium
Lineage: Bacteria
Description: bacterial SSU rRNA
Rfam family: Bacterial small subunit ribosomal RNA
Source: RNAcentral